Molecule: long non-coding RNA, 252 nt
Organism: Cucurbita maxima (winter squash)
Lineage: Eukaryota; Viridiplantae; Streptophyta; Magnoliopsida; Cucurbitales; Cucurbitaceae
Exons: 2
Source: RefSeq, a predicted model, not a curated record
CUUAAUGUAGCAUACAAUUUAAUCCUACAAUUCAAACAUGCUCAAUGGGGAGAAAAUGUCCAUCUAGCACCUGGAGCACAUAUCAAAGUUUUCCCAUCCUCCAUGUGAGAUCUCACAUCGGUUGGAGAGGAGAACGAAAACAAAUUUUUUUUAUAAGGGUGUGGAAACCUCUCCCUAAGAGACGCAUUUUAGAAACCUUGAGAAGAACCUCGAAAGGGAAAGCCCAAAGAGGACAAUAUCUGUUAGCGGUGG